GCCCUUAGAGUUUGAUCCUGGCUCAGGAUGAACGCUAGCUACAGGCUUAACACAUGCAAGGCGAGGGGCAGCAUGGUCUUAGCUUGCUAAGGCUGAUGGCGACCGGCGCACGGGUGAGUAACACGUAUCCAACCUGCCGUCUACUCUUGGCCAGCCUUCUGAAAGGAAGAUUAAUCCAGGAUGGGAUCAUGAGUUCACAUGUCCGCAUGAUUAAAGGUAUUUUCCGGUAGACGAUGGGGAUGCGUUCCACUAGAUAGUAGGCGGGGUAACGGCCCACCUAGUCAACGAUGGAUAGGGGUUCUGAGAGGAAGGUCCCCCACAUUGGAACUGAGACACGGUCCAAACUCCUACGGGACGCAGCAG
Molecule: ribosomal RNA, 363 nt
Filed under: uncultured bacterium
Lineage: Bacteria
Description: bacterial SSU rRNA
Rfam family: Bacterial small subunit ribosomal RNA
Source: RNAcentral